GGCCUCCGAGCCGGUAUGGUGAAGAUGGGCGGCCGAAAUCCGGCGGUGGGUAUGAGAGGAUGAAAGGGGCGGGUGAGGCGGAUCUGGUGGCGAUAGUGAAUCGGCCAAGAUCCAGUGGGAAUCGUCCGAGUUCUAGUGGAUGAUUCAUUCUGAAGUUGGAUACUUUUCGAAGGAUGAAGAUGACAUUUGAAGCACAAGCCAUGCUGCUCAGCAGCCAUCUUUUAUCCUUUUGGAAUCGGUAUUCGUCAUCAGAGUUUUUACUUUUUUUUGAAGGCAUGGAAGAUGAACAGAUACCACCAAGGUGACAAG
This 309-nucleotide unclassified non-coding RNA is filed under the name Hevea brasiliensis (rubber tree). Lineage: Eukaryota; Viridiplantae; Streptophyta; Magnoliopsida; Malpighiales; Euphorbiaceae. The record is from RNAcentral.